UACCUGCAGCUCAAGUGGUGGCCGCUAUUAUUGGGCCUAAAACGUCCGUAGCCGGUUUAAUAAAUGCCCGGGUAAAUCGUGUAGCUUAACUAUACGAAUUCCGGGUAGACUGUUAAACUUGAGACCGGGAGAAGUUAGAGGUACUCCUGGGGUAGAGGUGAAAUUCUGUAAUCCUAGGGGGACCACCAGUGGCGAAGGCGUCUGACUAGAACGGGUCUGACGGUGAGGGACGAAGCCCUGGGGCGCAAACCGGAUUAGAUACCCCCGUA
RNAcentral lists this ribosomal RNA (269 nucleotides) under uncultured prokaryote. Its description in RNAcentral is "partial 16S ribosomal RNA". It matches the Rfam family "Archaeal small subunit ribosomal RNA", at positions 474 to 743 of the family's 1478-position model. The record is from RNAcentral.